UCCGUAAUUAGUAAAGGUGAUGGCAGCUGUACCAUUCUCCUGGUCAAUCUCUUCAAUUUCCGCUUCAUACAAUCUGCAAGGAAGUUAGGGCUGUAAGCAUAUUAAAGUCAAGAAUCUUGAUCUGUACACCAAUAACACUGACUCCUGCCUUUAUGACUGCUCACUGGAAUGGCGGGGCAAAGGAAAGCAACGUUUGAGCACAAAAGUCUGUUUCCAAAUCAAUACAUAGCUAGUUAAGCUGCUAUAAGCAAGAAUUACAUUGCCUAUUGCUGUGACGUAUGAUAAUUAAACACUUGUCUCUUUUGAAGAUCCAAUCUAGAAUAUAGACACAAAAAGCUGGAUGAACUCAGCGGGACAGGCAGCAUCUCUGGAGAGAUGGAAUGGGUGACGUUUCAGGUGUACUUCUACACUGAACUACAUGUUGAAAUGGUGAUUUGCAUUUAUGAACCAACUCCACGCUUACAUGUGUUAUUCCCCUUAUGCUAAAAGUUGACCAACAAUCUCUUAAAAUGUCAAUGAAUCUGCCAUUCUGAUAAUCAAUUUAACUGCAGUGUCAGUUUCCCAAAACCAUCAGUAUAAUCUGCAGAAAAAACAUUAAAAAUUGCCUGAAAAACAGAUUA
Molecule: long non-coding RNA, 620 nt
Organism: Amblyraja radiata (thorny skate)
Lineage: Eukaryota; Metazoa; Chordata; Chondrichthyes; Rajiformes; Rajidae
Exons: 3
Source: RefSeq, a predicted model, not a curated record